Ictidomys tridecemlineatus (thirteen-lined ground squirrel) is the source of this 434-nucleotide non-coding RNA. Lineage: Eukaryota; Metazoa; Chordata; Mammalia; Rodentia; Sciuridae. The record is from RefSeq and is a predicted model, not a curated record.
GUGUCAUGUAAGUUCAGGGCUCUCUGUGAUUAUUCCUCAUAAGAAUCCUGAGAGAAACAAUUGAGUAUUUAGCUGUAUCCAUCAGUUCAUCAUCUGAAGCAGCCUGGAGCCAAGAGCAAAGUAACAGAAACUUGCACAAUGGAGCAAAAGCUUGGAUUUGGCUUUGCCAACAAUAAUUGAUCUUUGAGAAUAAUGACAGAAGAACUGGAGCACUAGCAGCUUUUUGGACCAUGAGGUGACACUGAGGAUUAAGGCCUUACAAUGAGGACGAUGGAGCAGAAAAAGAGAGAGGGAUGUUUUCUGAUGCCUCCAUGGUGCCAAUUAACAAACCUGGACUGUCUACUUCUGAUUCCCUUUCCUGUGAGCAAAUGAAUUUGUGUGUGUGUGUGUGUGUGUGUGUGUGUGUGUUUAAUCACUAAUAUUUUUGGAUUUUU